GAGUUCGUGACUGUGUCCAGAGCUACAGACAUUCCUAUUUGUCCGUGAGUUGCAUGACUAAUGCGUUUGGCCUGGUUAAGAAUGAAGUGGGCACAUGAGAACGUUUUCAAGGACAUCAGCCGGUGCUGCUUGGACAGAGGAGAGCCACUAGUGAAAAUACCCCAAGGCUUCUUCCUGGUGCAGGGCAGACCCUGGUUGCGUAUGCGUGUGCUCCUUGGCUCUGUCCAGCGACAUGGCCUGACAGCUGCAACAAUCCCACAGCCACUAGCCCAUCUCACGUCCGGAUCUUCACUUCUAAGUACUACUUUCAUGUAAAAGACACCAGGACUCCGCAAAGUAUUGGCCGAAUCCCGGGCUAGGUAGAGAAACCACAAGAUGGGACUACGACAUCUCGUGGUGCCCCCGAAUAAGGCAAUAUUCAAAGCAAACAAUAACAAUAACCAAGCCAGCAACAACGAAAACUAUGAAUAAAUGGAAAAAGCUCAUGAAGCCAGCUUGAACGGGCACCCGUGCUUUUAGGAAGGCGCCAGGUGCUUCUGACGCAAGUGUGGUCUGUGGACUUCACUUGAAAAACCGCACGUCCAGCCUCUGAGUGCCUCUUUUAUCUCCUGUCCCAUUUUUCUUCGUUUCCUUCCUUUGUGCUGCCUGGGCUACCGUGGUUCUAUGUUGGCUGACCUGCUUUCAGAUGAUUAGGAAAGUCAACAGUGACCUGUUUGCAGAGUAUUUUUAAUAGAGUGGAAUUCUGUGAAAAACAGAGUGCAGUGGACUGAAGAACGGACAGGGUCAGAAGCAGUUGGAGAGUUUGUUCUCGAAACGACAGGAGGGGAAGAAAAUAUGUGCAGACACACUGGGAAGGUUUGAGGUGGAACGGUGAGACCUUCCGGGACUAGGAGCUGGAAGGGCCCACAUGAUCGAGAAUGGAGACGGUGGUGGGAAUCCCGCCAUAAGAGACAACAUGGAUGGAUCUUGAAGGCGUUAUGCUAAGAGGAAAAAGUCCAAGAAAGACAAGUACUGUAUGAGCUCAUUUACAUGUGGAAUCUUAAAAAAAAAGAACCCCAACUCAUAGAAACAGAUUGGUGGUUGCCUGGGUGAAGGUCGGUGGGGAAGGAGAAUGGGCAAAAUGGACAAAAUCGGUCAAAAGGUACAAAUUUCAAUAGUAAUGUGGAGCACCUAGGUGGCCCAGUCGGUUAA
This is a long non-coding RNA of Lynx canadensis (Canada lynx), 1191 nucleotides long. RefSeq lists it as uncharacterized. The transcript has 2 exons. The record is from RefSeq and is a predicted model, not a curated record. NCBI's taxonomy places the organism in Eukaryota, Metazoa, Chordata, Mammalia, Carnivora, Felidae.